Molecule: ribosomal RNA, 253 nt
Filed under: uncultured bacterium
Lineage: Bacteria
Description: partial 16S ribosomal RNA
Rfam family: Bacterial small subunit ribosomal RNA
Source: RNAcentral
GACGAACUGUCCUAACGUUGUUCGGAAUCACUGGGCUUAAAGGGCGCGUAGGCGGUCGAACAAGUCAGGGGUGAAAUCCUACAGCUUAACUGUAGAAGUGCCUUUGAUACUGUUUGUCUUGAGGGAGAUAGGGGUGUGCGGAACUUCCAGUGGAGCGGUGAAAUGCGUUGAUAUUGGAAGGAACGCCGGGGGCGAAAGCGGCGCACUGGAUCUCUUCUGACGCUGAGGCGCGAAAGCUAGGGGAGCAAACGGG